GUUCCCUCUCUCUAAUCCUUGCUACCUGGGUGAGAAUGCUUUUGAAAUGCAAUGCACCUGGGCAAGGAUUCUAGAAGGGGGGC
Molecule: microRNA precursor, 83 nt
Filed under: Sorex araneus (European shrew)
Lineage: Eukaryota; Metazoa; Chordata; Mammalia; Eulipotyphla; Soricidae
Description: miRNA (ENSSARG00000016975.1)
Rfam family: mir-500 microRNA precursor family
Source: RNAcentral